RNAcentral lists this ribosomal RNA (468 nucleotides) under uncultured bacterium. RNAcentral's name for it is "partial 16S ribosomal RNA". It matches the Rfam family "Bacterial small subunit ribosomal RNA", at positions 28 to 507 of the family's 1533-position model. The record is from RNAcentral.
GACGAACGCUGGCGGCGUGCUUAACACAUGCCAGUCGAACGGAAAGGCCCUGCUUUUGUGGGGUGCUCGAGUGGCGAACGGGUGAGUAACACGUGAGUAACCUGCCCUUGACUUUGGGAUAACUUCAGGAAACUGGGGCUAAUACCGGAUAGGAGCUCCUGCUGCAUGGUGGGGGUUGGAAAGUUUCGGCGGUUGGGGAUGGACUCGCGGCUUGUCAGCUUGUUGGUGGGGUAGUGGCUUACCAAGGCUUUGACGGGUAGCCGGCCUGAGAGGGUGACCGGCCACAUUGGGACUGAGAUACGGCCCAGACUCCUACGGGAGGCAGCAGUGGGGAAUAUUGCACAAUGGGCGGAAGCCUGAUGCAGCAACGCCGCGUGCGGGAUGACGGCCUUCGGGUUGUAAACCGCUUUCGCCUGUGACGAAGCGUGAGUGACGGUAAUGGGUAAAGAAGCACCGGCUAACUACGUG